CUACAGCUACAUGAUAUAGGUCUACUACAGCUACAUGAUACAGGUCUACUACAGCUACAUGAUACAGCUCUACUCGACAACAUGAUAUAGGUCUACUACAGCUACAUGAUACAGGUCUACUACAGCUACAUGAUACAGGUCUACUACAGCUACAUGAUACAGCUCUACUAGACAACAUGAUAUAGGUCUACUACAGCUACAUGAUACAGGUCUACUAGAAAACAUGAUAUAGGUCUACUACAGCUACAUGAUAUAGGUCUACUACAGCUACAUGAUAUAGGUCUACUACAGCUACAUGAUACAGGUCUACUAGAAAACAUGAUAUAGGUCUACUACAGCUACAUGAUACAGGUCUACUAGAAAACAUGAUAUAGGUCUACUACAGCUACAUGA
Molecule: long non-coding RNA, 393 nt
Organism: Oncorhynchus keta (chum salmon)
Lineage: Eukaryota; Metazoa; Chordata; Actinopteri; Salmoniformes; Salmonidae
Exons: 4
Source: RefSeq, a predicted model, not a curated record